Molecule: non-coding RNA, 710 nt
Organism: Schizosaccharomyces pombe (fission yeast)
Lineage: Eukaryota; Fungi; Ascomycota; Schizosaccharomycetes; Schizosaccharomycetales; Schizosaccharomycetaceae
Source: the annotation of a GenBank genome assembly
GCAGACACCACUGACAACACCACCCAAGGCAUCUAUUUCUCGCAUUAGUGUUCCUUUUCCAAUCCCACCGAAAGCUGGAUUACAGCUCAUUUGUCCAAUAUUGUCGAAGGACUUUGUUAAAAGAGUAGUUUUCGCACCUAAUCUAGAAGCAGCAGCAGCGGCUUCCACGCCAGCGUGUCCACCUCCUAUCACUACGACAUUCUUCCGGCGAUUGAAGGAGGUGCAGAAAUAUCGCUUUGUUGUUCGAAACAUUUGUUCACCCCAAAUAAACUAUUUCAAAAACAUACAUAAGGACCUUUUGUUAAAGUACCGACAAAAAAAUGCACAAAAUAUAUUUGAGUUAUGCGUAAAGGUUAAUGAUAAAUUUGUUGUUGAGGUCUUGCUGAAAUAAAACGCUAUAUAGUCGGGAAAGAGCUGUUAAAAAGCACAGUCAAUCAAAAAUUCUAAAAUUAGUGGAAAAUAGACAUUCAGGAUGUCAGAAGUUUGUAAUUGAAUCUAUCAACAGAUUAGGCAAUGGUUGUAAUGCUCCUAAGGUUAAUCAGACUAAUUUACGUCUGAAAUCUGAAGAUUUAGAACAAAUAUAUUACAACCUUUUUAUUAUUUUUCCUUUUUUAAAAACUAUGAAUAUCUGAUUGCAGAAUAAACGAAUUUAAGAAAAUACUUUUUUUUUUUCAAGCUUGUCGUCACUUGUGAGUUUGAGAAUAUUCGGG